CUAAAUUCUGUUGCUUUAUUUAUUUGGUUAUUUCAUAAGUAACUUUUAAACGGAUUUAAAGUUCUACGUGCGUAUACGUACGUACGAAAAACGCAACAGUGGAAAUCAGCCUUAAUUAAGGUUUGCAAAGGACAACCUUUAUUGAAUUAGCUGUACACAGGGUGUAUAAAAACAAACGAGAUCUUUAGAAAUCAAGCUAUUGUUGGAAUUUGAAUGCAUAGCAGUAUACGUGCGUCAGAAACAGAAUCGGAAGUGAAUUUUAUGCAUGACGAAGUUAUCUCAAAAACUUUAACUUUGGUUUCUUCUAACAUAUAUGAAUUAUGUUGAAUUUUUCUGUGUUGGUGUUAUGUACUCAGGUGAAUAUAUGAUGUUUGUGAUGUUACUCUGAGUGUAUAUCCACACCGGGCAAGCUUGAAAAAUAUGCCUGACCACGGUGGGAAUCGAACCUACGACCUUAGGAAUACUAGCCCAAUGCUCUGCCAAUUAAGUGAGCUACGCGGUCUGGUUGGUUCGAGUAUGUGAUAUUUCGGAACUGAAUCUAGUUCCUUCGACAUCAAUGCAAUCUACACAGAAAAUUCAUGAUUUUCUGUGUAGAUUGCAUUGAUGUCGAAGGAAAAUUCAUGAUUAUUAUAGAUUGCAUUGAUGUCCAAGGAACUAGAUUCAGUUCCGAAAUAUCACAUACUCAGUCGAACCGACCUGACCGCGUAGCUCACUUGGCAGAGCAUUGGGCUAGUAUUCCAAAGGUCGUAGGUUCGAUUCCCACCGUGGUCAGGCAUAUUUUUCAAGCUUGCCCUGGGUUUAGUUGAUGUUUGGAGGGACGUUUGGAGGGACAAGAAGUUAUAGUGAGCGAGCUAAAUAUAUAUUAAUAAAAGAU
This is a non-coding RNA of Paramuricea clavata, 874 nucleotides long. The record is from the annotation of a GenBank genome assembly. NCBI's taxonomy places the organism in Eukaryota, Metazoa, Cnidaria, Anthozoa, Malacalcyonacea, Plexauridae.